CGACCACGGAUGAGAAGAGCAGGAUCGGACGUCUAUGCAAUGGGCUACUACAUGGAAGGGGCCUACUGGAAUUGAAUAGUGCACAACCUGAACGUCUGUACAUGGCAGCUUUACCUGUACUGCUUACAGCUUCUCCUCCUUCCUCCUUCUGGACUGCAGUCUCCUCGGGUAACCAGAGCUUCUCUGGGCCCUGGGACAGAAAGGGGUUUCAAUGGGACAAGCAGUCGCCGAGUGGGGGAGCCGAGGGCCCCUUGAAGAUGAAGGAGCACUUCUGGUGUGGUUCCGAUUGUCUUUGGUCCCUG
Molecule: long non-coding RNA, 302 nt
Filed under: Heterocephalus glaber (naked mole-rat)
Lineage: Eukaryota; Metazoa; Chordata; Mammalia; Rodentia; Bathyergidae
Description: lncRNA (ENSHGLG00000034774.1)
Source: RNAcentral